UCCUGUCCCUACUACAAAGCUGAUGUCGAAGACAUCACAUUGGCAAGGAACUGAGGUGGCCUGUCCACCUACAAAGGAGGCCAACGCACAUCUAUGACCAAAUUUUUUUCCUGUGCCUCCAACUUCGAGAAGACCAGCUUGAUUGAUAGAACAAUAACCGAAGCUCCUAGAUGCCGCUCCACCCUCUUCAUCUAUUGAAAUGGUAG
RNAcentral lists this long non-coding RNA (206 nucleotides) under Elaeis guineensis (African oil palm). RNAcentral describes it as "long non-coding RNA (EGUI_LNC017668)". Lineage: Eukaryota; Viridiplantae; Streptophyta; Magnoliopsida; Arecales; Arecaceae. The record is from RNAcentral.